Molecule: long non-coding RNA, 692 nt
Organism: Hippocampus zosterae (dwarf seahorse)
Lineage: Eukaryota; Metazoa; Chordata; Actinopteri; Syngnathiformes; Syngnathidae
Exons: 2
Source: RefSeq, a predicted model, not a curated record
UGGUAUAGGUCUCUCUCAGUUUGUUGCUUAUAUACCAAACAAAGAGUGCUGGAAAGCUGCGCGCGAUCAAUCUUACUCGCCAAAAGGUCUGACAGCUCGGUGCCCUCACAACACAUUUAAGGCUUCUAACUCUCCCCCGGAUCAAAUGCAGGCAGGAAGCGACGAGAAACACUGGUCACUCAGAUUAGAACCAUUUUCUGCUCCUUCCAGCUCGAGCUGUCGCUGGAGGGAUGGUUUCAAAGAUAAAUAGGAAUGGUAACAAGGCGGCCGCGUAUAUUUCCGUGCAGGGGGAGGCAGUGAACACAACGCGCGGGGGCCGCUGAAAAGUCCGGCGCUUGACAUUUUUAUUAUUAUGGAUGUGCCCACGCAGAUGAAAUGAGAGGAGGGAAGAAGGCCACCCGAGAGUUUUCUUCACGUCUCAUCAGGAAGAGAGAGAAAUAAAUUAUGCAACUUUUUUUUUUUGCUUGCAUGUAACCACCAGUUCCAGAUAUCUUGCCGAAGGAUGUUAAUGGCAUAUUUUUUUAUACCAGAAUAAUUUAUGACAAGAUUAUUUGUGCGUUGAGGUUUUUUUUGCGCACUACUUUUCAAGUCGACUGCAGGUAAUGAUUAUUCCAGUCUCAUUUUUCAAUCAAAAAUAAAUGAUGUGCAUUCUGAUAGUUUGUCUGAAUUAAAAGAGAUAUGCUUUGAUUGUA